UAAGCCAUGCGAGUCGAGAGGGUUCAGACCCUCGGCGGACUGCUCAGUAACACGUGGAUAACCUGCCCUAAGGUGGAGCAUAACCCCGGGAAACUGGGGAUAAUACUCCAUAGAUUAGAGACACUGGAAUGUUCUUUAGUCGAAAGUUCUGGCGCCUUAGGAUGGAUCUGCGGUCGAUUAGGUUGUUGUUGGGGUAACGGCCCAACAAGCCUGUAAUCGAUACGGGUUGUGGGAGCAAGAGCCCGGAGAUGGAAUCUGAGACACGAUUCCAGGCCCUACGGGGCGCAGCAGGCGCGAAAACUUUACAAUGCAGGAAACUGUGAUAAGGGAACUCCGAGUGCCCGUAUACGCGGGCUGUCCAGGUGUUUAAAAAUCAUCUGAAGAAAGGGCCGGGCAAGACCGGUGCCAGCCGCCGCGGUAAUACCGGCGGCUCGAGUGGUGGCCACUAUUAUUGGGCUUAAAGCGUCCGUAGCUGGACCGAUAAGUCUCUUGGGAAAUCCGCCGGCUCAACCGGCGGGCGUCUAAGGGAUACUGUUUUCUAGGGACCGGGAGAGGUGAGGGGUACUGCCGGGGUAGGAGUGAAAUCCUGUAAUCCCGGUGGGACCACCUAUGGCGAAGGCAUCUCACCAGAACGGGUCCGACAGUGAGGGACGAAAGCUGGGGGAGCAAACCGGAUUAGAUACCCGGGUAGUCCCAGCUGUAAACUAUGUGCGUUAGGUGUGUCAGUGACCACGUGUCACUGAGGUGCCGAAGGGAAACCGUGAAACGCACCGCCUGGGGAGUACGGUCGCAAGGCUGAAACUUAAAGGAAUUGGCGGGGGAGCACCACAACGGGUGGAGCCUGCGGUUUAAUCGGACUCAACGCCGGGAAUCUCACCGGAUAAGACAGCUGAAUGAUAGUCGGGAUGAAGACUCUACUUGACUAGCUGAGAGGAGGUGCAUGGCCGUCGUCAGUUCGUACUGUGAAGCAUCCUGUUUAGUCAGGCAACGAGCGAGACCCA
Molecule: ribosomal RNA, 1001 nt
Filed under: uncultured archaeon
Lineage: Archaea
Description: bacterial SSU rRNA
Rfam family: Archaeal small subunit ribosomal RNA
Source: RNAcentral